GAGUUUGAUCAUGGCUCAGAUUGAACGCUGGCGGAAUGCUUUACACAUGCAAGUCGAACGGCAGCACGGACUUCGGUCUGGUGGCGAGUGGCGAACGGGUGAGUAACAUAUCGGAACGUAUCCAAUAAUGGGGGAUAACUAAUCGAAAGGUUGGCUAAUACCGCAUACGCCCUACGGGGGAAAGCUAGGGACCUUCGGGCCUGGCGUUAAUGGAGCGGCCGAUAUCUGAUUAGCUAGUUGGUGGGGUAAAGGCCCACCAAGGCGACGAUCAGUAGCUGGUCUGAGAGGACGACCAGCCACACUGGAACUGAGACACGGUCCAGACUCCUACGGGAGGCAGCAGUGGGGAAUUUUGGACAAUGGGCGCAAGCCUGAUCCAGCCAUUCCGCGUGAGUGAAGAAGGCCUUCGGGUUGUAAAGCUCUUUCGCAAGGGAAGAAAACUUAGAUACUAAUAUUAUCUGAGGUUGACGGUACCUUGAUAAGAAGCACCGGCUAACUACGUGCCAGCAGCCGCGGUAAUACGUAGGGUGCGAGCGUUAAUCGGAAUUACUGGGCGUAAAGCGUGCGCAGGCGGUCUUGUAAGUCAGAUGUGAAAUCCCCGAGCUCAACUUGGGAACUGCGUCCGAAACUACAAGACUAGAAUAUGUCAGAGGGGGGUAGAAUUCACGUGUAGCAGUGAAUGCGUAGGAUGUGGAGGAU
Molecule: ribosomal RNA, 699 nt
Filed under: uncultured bacterium
Lineage: Bacteria
Description: bacterial SSU rRNA
Rfam family: Bacterial small subunit ribosomal RNA
Source: RNAcentral